ACUUAAAUAGUUUAAAUAAAAUAUUAAUUUGUGGAAUUAAAGAUAUAUAGUUUUAUUUUAAGUA
RNAcentral lists this transfer RNA (64 nucleotides) under Ips grandicollis. RNAcentral's name for it is "tRNA-His". Lineage: Eukaryota; Metazoa; Arthropoda; Insecta; Coleoptera; Curculionidae. The record is from RNAcentral.